Non-coding RNA from Podarcis lilfordi (Lilford's wall lizard), 78 nucleotides. Lineage: Eukaryota; Metazoa; Chordata; Lepidosauria; Squamata; Lacertidae. The record is from the annotation of a GenBank genome assembly.
UGCAUGGCUUAGUUAUAUGUUGGAAGUGUGUGAGACUCCUAAUUUCAGGGUUGUGGGUUCAAGCCCCACACAGGGCAA